RNAcentral lists this ribosomal RNA (1427 nucleotides) under metagenome. RNAcentral's name for it is "bacterial LSU rRNA". It matches the Rfam family "Bacterial large subunit ribosomal RNA", at positions 1510 to 2915 of the family's 2925-position model. The record is from RNAcentral.
GGUCAAGCACGCAGCCCGUCGCACAGGCAAAUCCGUGCGGCGUGUGGGCGAGGUGCGAUGAUAGGGCCCUUUUGGGCCGAUAUCCGGUGAUCCCUGCCGUCGAGAAAAGCUUCGGCGCGAGGGCCAAUGCCGCCCGUACCCCAAACCGACACUGGUGGUCAGGUAGAGAAUACCAAGGCGAUCGAGCGAAUCCUGGUCAAGGAACUCGGCAAAUUGCUCCCGUUCCUUCGGUUUAAGGGAGACCCCCUGCUGUGAACGGGCUUGCCCCGGGAGCGGCGGGGGGUGGCACAGGCCAGGGGGUAGCGACUGUUUACCAAAAACACAGGUGCAUGCGAAGGCGAAAGCCGCUGUAUAUGCACUGACGCCUGCCCGGUGCCGGAAGGUUAAGAGGAUCCGUCAGCCCUCGGGCGAAGCGGUGAAUUCAAGCCCCGGUAAACGGCGGUGGUAACAAUAACCAUCCUAAGGUAGCGAAAUUCCUUGUCGGGUAAGUUCCGACCUGCACGAAUGGCGUAACGACUUCCCCACUGUCUCGACCAGGAGCUCGGCGAAAUUGCAGUACGAGUAAAGAUGCUCGUUAAGCGCAGAAGGACGAAAAGACCCCGGGACCUUUACUAUACCUUGGUAUUGGCAUUCGGUGUGGAUUGUGUAGCAUAGGCGGGAGGCUACGAGUCAUGGGCGCCAGCCCGUGAGGAGCCGUCGUUGAAAUACCGCUCUGUUCGCAUUGGAUGUCUAACCUCGAGCAGUCAUCCUGCUCAGGGACAGUGCCUGGCGGGUAGUUUAACUGGGGCGGUUGCCUCCCAAAGAGUAACGGAGGCGCUCAAAGGUUCCCUCAGCCCGGUUGGCAAUCGGGUGGCGAGUGUAAGCGCACAAGGGAGCUUGACUGCGAGACUGACGGGUCGAGCAGGGACGAAAGUCGGAGCUAGUGAUCCGGUGCCGGCGUACGGACGCGGCAUCGCUCAACGGAUAAAAGGUACCCCGGGGAUAACAGGCUGAUCAUUCCCAAGAGUCCAUAUCGACGGGAUGGUUUGGCACCUCGAUGUCGGCUCGUCGCAUCCUGGGGCUGGAGCAGGUCCCAAGGGUUCGGCUGUUCGCCGAUUAAAGCGGCACGCGAGCUGGGUUCAGAACGUCGUGAGACAGUUUGGUCUCUAUCCUCUGCGCUCGUUGGAAUCCUGAGGAGGCCUGCCCAUAGUACGAGAGGACCUGGGUGGACGAACCUCUGGUAUGCCGGUUGUCGCGCCAGCGGCACGGCCGGUUGGCUACGUUCGGAAGGGAUAACCGCUGAAAGCAUCUAAGCGGGAAGCCUGCUCCGAGAUUAGGAUUCCUCGCGGCCUCGGGCCGCGCGACCCCCCAUGUAGAACACGUGGUCGAUAGGCCGGACGUGGAAGCCCCGCAAGGGGUGGAGCUGACCGGUACUAACGGGGGAAAGG